GUCGAAAUGGUGCCAGAGGUGCUUCUGGUCGUUGUAUUUUCCAUAUAUGUGAAGAAAUAAAAAUAAAUAACCACUGUUAAUACAAUACAGAUAUGCCCUGCAAAGACUACGCUUAUCAAUGGGCAAAUCAAACGCAUUGCAAGUCGAAUACUCCAUCUGUGUAUCAUAAUCAAAUGAAGAAAGAUUACAAAGUAUGUGCGAAAAUGGAUAUUUCAAAUUUAAAGAACGUUUAUCAUUCACCAGUGUAAUAACUGAGGUACCAUCUCACA
RNAcentral lists this unclassified non-coding RNA (269 nucleotides) under Hevea brasiliensis (rubber tree). The record is from RNAcentral. Lineage: Eukaryota; Viridiplantae; Streptophyta; Magnoliopsida; Malpighiales; Euphorbiaceae.